AGAGUGAACGCUGGCGGUAGGCCUAACACAUGCAAGUCGAACGGCAGCACGGUAAGAGCUUGCUCUUAUGGGUGGCGAGUGGCGGGACGGGUGAGGAAUACAUCGGAAUCUACCUUUUGGUGGGGGAUAACGUAGGGAAACUUACGCUAAUACCGCAUACGCCCUUCGGGGGAAAGCCGGGGACCAGCAAUGGCCUGGUGCUGAUAGAUGAGCCGAGUGUCGGAUUAGCUAGUU
RNAcentral lists this ribosomal RNA (234 nucleotides) under uncultured soil bacterium. Its description in RNAcentral is "partial 16S ribosomal RNA". It matches the Rfam family "Bacterial small subunit ribosomal RNA", at positions 26 to 250 of the family's 1533-position model. The record is from RNAcentral.